AACCUGUGUCUUGGACUGCCGGCCCAGCGCUCCCUUCUGAUACAAUUCAUUGUAUUGUAGGGGAUGUAUGGGCAUUUUGCUCUGCGAAAGCUUUCACUAGACAACUUUCUUCUUAUGAGCGGAAGUGUACAAUGUAGCACAUUUUAUAUCUAUUGCUUGUUUUUAUUAUAUGUUUAUUACAUAUGUUAUAAUACACAUAUGUUUAUUAUAUGUUUACCUGUGAAGGACCCAGGAAGGGUCAGAGGGAUGAGUCCUUAGAAGAGAGCUGCAUACAGUAGUGGAACUCAUAUAUAUAACGGCUGUUGGAAGGAGAGGACCAAGGUGCAUCGUGAAAAUAUGGAAAAAAAGGGGGUGGAGGUCAGACUACCUUCUGAGAAUUCGUAGAGUCGUGGCUGAACGCCGACAUCCUUCUACGCCGGCUCAGACGCUUGUCGGAUGUGGCAAGGCUUGAAAACUAUUACGAACUACAAAGGGAAACACAGCCGCAAGCUGCCCAUUGUUGCGAGCCUACCAGAUGAGAUAAAUGCCUUUUAUGCUCACUUCGAGACAAGCAACGGUGAAGCAUGCAUGAGAGCACCAGCUGUUCUGGACUGUGUGAUAAUGCUCUCGGAAGGCGAUGUGAGCAAGACCUUUAAACAGGUCAACAUUCACAAAGCCCUGGGGUCAGAUGGAUUACCAGGAUGUGUACUCAAAGCAUGCAAAGACCAACUGGCAAGUGUCUUCACUGACAUUUUCAACCUCUCCCUGACCGAAUCUGUAAUACCUACAUGUUUCAAGCAGACCACCAUAGUCCAAGUUCCCAAGGAAGUGAAAGUAACCUGCCUAAAUGAUUACCACCCGUAGCACUCACGUCGGUAGCCAUGAAGUGCUUUGAAAGGCUGGUCAUGGCUCACAUCAACAGCAUCCUCCCUGAUACCCUAGACCCAAUCCACAUACCACCCCAACAGAUCCACAAUCGCACUCCACACUGCCCUUUCCCAUCUGAACAAAAGGAACACCUAUGUGAGAAUGCUGUUCAUUGACUACAGCUCAGCGUUCAACACCAUAGUGCCCACAAAGCCAAUCACUAAGCUAAGGACCCUGGGACUAAACACCUCCCUCUGCAACUGGAUCCUCGACUUCCUGACGGGCCACCCCCAGGUGGUAAGGGUAGGCAACAACAUGUCUGCUACGCUGAUCCUCAACACUGGGGCCCCUCAGGGGUAUGUGCUUAGUCCCCUCCUGUAUUCCCUGUUCACCCACGACUGCGUAACCAAACACGACUCCAACACCAUCAUUAAGUUUCCUGACGGCACAACAGUGGUAGGCCUAAUCAGCGACAACGAUGAGACAGCCUAUCGGCAGGAUAGGUGCUAGGACAACAACCUCUCCCUCAAUGUGAGCAAGACAGAGGAUCUGAUCGUGGACUACAGGAAAAGGCAGGCCGAACAGGCCCCCAUUAUCAUCGACGGGGCUGUAGUGCAGCCGGUCGAGAGUUUCAAGUUCCUUGGUGUCCACAUCACCAACAAACUAUCAUGGUCCAAACACACCAAGUCAGUCAUGAAGUGGGCACAACAACACCUCUUCCCCCUCAGGAGACGGAACAGAUUGGGCAUGGAUCCUCAGAUCCUCAAAAAGUUCUACAGCUGCACAAUCGAGAGCAUGGUUUCAUCACCGCCUGCUAUUGUAACUGCUCGGCAUCUGACCGUAAGGCGCUACAGAGUGUAGUGCGUACGGCCAAGUACAUCACUGGGGCCAAGCUUCCUGCCAUCCAGGACCUUUAAACUAGGCGGUGUCAGAGGAAUGCCCUAAAAAUUGUCAAAGACUCAAGUCACCCAAGUCAUAGACUGUUUUCUCAAGUCAUAGACUGUUUUCUACCGCACGGCAAGCGGUCCUGGAGCACCAAGUCUAGGACCAAAAGUCUCCUUAACAGCUUCUACCCCCAAGCUGUAAGACUGCUGAACAUUUAAACAAAUUAUAUUAAACAAAUUAUUUAAACAAAUGACUCGUUGUUUAUAAUCGAUGCAUAGUCACUUCACCUCUACCUACAUGUACAAAUUACCUCCACUAACCUGUACUCCUGCACAUUGACUCGGUACCUCUACCCCCUGUAUAUACCCUCAUUAUUGUUAUUUUAUUGUGUAACUUUGUAAUAUUUUUUACUUUAGUUUAUUUAGUUGAUUUAUUUACUUCUUAACUCUUUCUUGAACUGCACUGUUGGUUUAAGGGCUUGUAAAUGUGCAUUUCACGGCAAGGUCUACACAUGUAUUCAGCACAUGUCACAAAUAAAAUUUGAUUGGAUUUGA
This is a long non-coding RNA of Oncorhynchus nerka (sockeye salmon), 2285 nucleotides long. RefSeq lists it as uncharacterized. The record is from RefSeq and is a predicted model, not a curated record. NCBI's taxonomy places the organism in Eukaryota, Metazoa, Chordata, Actinopteri, Salmoniformes, Salmonidae. The transcript has 4 exons.